GGAUGUAGCUCAGUCGGUAGAGCACCGGUCUCCAAAACCGGGUGUCGGGAGUUCGAGCCUCUCCAUCC
RNAcentral lists this transfer RNA (68 nucleotides) under uncultured Odoribacter sp. It matches the Rfam family "tRNA". From Rfam's summary of the family: Transfer RNA (tRNA) molecules are approximately 80 nucleotides in length. Their secondary structure includes four short double-helical elements and three loops (D, anti-codon, and T loops). The record is from RNAcentral. Lineage: Bacteria; Pseudomonadati; Bacteroidota; Bacteroidia; Bacteroidales; Odoribacteraceae.